This 372-nucleotide ribosomal RNA is filed under the name uncultured organism. RNAcentral's name for it is "bacterial SSU rRNA". It matches the Rfam family "Bacterial small subunit ribosomal RNA", at positions 526 to 896 of the family's 1533-position model. The record is from RNAcentral.
CGUAGGUGGCAAGCGUUGUCCGGAAUUAUUGGGCGUAAAGCGCGCGCAGGCGGUUCCUUAAGUCUGAUGUGAAUGCCCCCGGCUCAACCGGGGAAGGUCAUUGGAAACUGGGGAACUUGAGUGCAGAAGAGAAGAGCGGAAUUCCACGUGUAGCGGUGAAAUGCGUAGAGAUGUGGAGGAACACCAGUGGCGAAGGCGGCUCUUUGGUCUGUAACUGACGCUGAGGCGCGAAAGCGUGGGGAGCAAACAGGAUUAGAUACCCUGGUAGUCCACGCCGUAAACGAUGAGUGCUAAGUGUUAGAGGGUUUCCGCCCUUUAGUGCUGCAGCUAACGCAUUAAGCACUCCGCCUGGGGAGUACGGCCGCAAGGCUG